GACGAACGCUGGCGGCGUGCUUAACACAUGCAAGUCGAACGGUAAGGCCCUUCGGGGUACACGAGUGGCGAACGGGUGAGUAACGCGUGGGUGAUCUGCCCUGCACUUCGGGAUAAGCCUGGGAAACUGGGUCUAAUACCGGAUAAGACCACUGCCUGCAUGGGUGGUGGUGGAAAGCUUUUGCGGUGUGGGAUGGGCCCGCGGCCUAUCAGCUUGUUGGUGGGGUGAUGGCAUACCAAGGCGACGACGGGUAGCCGGCCUGAGAGGGUGACCGGCCACACUGGGACUGAGAUACGGCCCAGACUCCUACGGGAGGCAGCAGUGGGGAAUAUUACACAAUGGGCGCAAGCCUGAUGCAGCGACGCCGCGUGAGGGAUGACGGCCUUCGGGUUGUAAACCUCUUUCAGUACCGACGAAGCGCAAGUGACGGUAGGUACAGAAGAAGGACCGGCCAACUACGUGCCAGCAGCCGCCGUAA
RNAcentral lists this ribosomal RNA (478 nucleotides) under uncultured bacterium. Its description in RNAcentral is "partial 16S ribosomal RNA". It matches the Rfam family "Bacterial small subunit ribosomal RNA", at positions 28 to 523 of the family's 1533-position model. The record is from RNAcentral.